Non-coding RNA from Theobroma cacao (cacao), 924 nucleotides. NCBI's taxonomy places the organism in Eukaryota, Viridiplantae, Streptophyta, Magnoliopsida, Malvales, Malvaceae. The record is from RefSeq and is a predicted model, not a curated record.
UUCACCAUAAAAAUUAAGUUUUUUUCUUCUCCUUUCUCUUCUUUUCUUACUUCUCCAUUCUCCUACCCCUUUAUUUACCCAACCCACAACUUUCAACCUCAUUUUUCAUCCCAACGAAACUCUAGAAGAGAGAAAGGAAGAAACAAGAAAGGAAAGAAAGAAAGGAAAAAGGAAGAAAAAAGCUUAGAGGAGGCUCGACCUUAGAGGAGAAAAGAGAAAACCGAGAGGUUUUUCUCCUUACCCACACACCAUCAUUGAGGUUGAAAAGAUUUUGGUGGUUUGCCUUGUGGAUUUCAAGCAAGGAUCAAUAAAGAUCCUAGGAACUCGAGGCAUACAUGUGGAAGAAUCUUGGAAUGUAUGGUGAUUUUGUGCUAGAUUAAGUGGGUGUUUUCAGGAUCGAAGGUAAUUGGAUCCUAGGUCGAGGUGCUCCCUCUUAUUCAUCUUUCAAUAGGUUCACUAUGACUCUCAAUGAUAACACCCACUCCAAAGUCACUCCGCUGGUUGUCAAGGGUCUGUUGUAUGUUUAUAAGUGAUGGCUCAAUGUAAAUUGUGAGAUUUGUUAUGAACUUUGUAUGUACUUGGUUUUCAUGAUUUAAAUUUUGAAGAGGUGGUUAUUAGAAAUUACGAGUUUUAGAUCCUAAAGAAAACAAAGUGAUAGAUGGACUACUAACGGGUUUACAUAGAAAGGCUUGCUUGGGCUUGGUGGGCUAUAUGCCUAUUAGGCUCAUGCACUAGUCAUGGCCCAGGGUUUUGGGCUAUGUCAAAAACCCUGUAAAGAUCGACUAGUGGAUAGUGAGGAUCAAUCCUAGCUUUAUAAAAGUCAUAGGUCUAAUUGUUAAUUCACUAGGCAGUUGAUCCUAGCUUUUUGUACUCCUGUCCAUUAUUUCAUCACUCAUUCCCACGGUCACAUUUCAUAAUUCUUAA